GCCUGCUUUGACAGCCCAUAAGCUAACGGGGAACAAUGCAGGGAAGAUUAGCAUGUCCCCAGUGCAAGAAUGACAAGCAAAUUUGCGGAGCGUUCCAUAGUUUU
This is a small nuclear RNA of Gracilinanus agilis (Agile Gracile Mouse Opossum), 104 nucleotides long. NCBI's taxonomy places the organism in Eukaryota, Metazoa, Chordata, Mammalia, Didelphimorphia, Didelphidae. The record is from RefSeq and is a predicted model, not a curated record.